This 660-nucleotide long non-coding RNA is filed under the name Olea europaea (common olive). RNAcentral's name for it is "long non-coding RNA (OEUR_LNC013912)". The record is from RNAcentral. Lineage: Eukaryota; Viridiplantae; Streptophyta; Magnoliopsida; Lamiales; Oleaceae.
UGCCAUGGGUCCCGUCCAGGGCUUACCUGACUACAACUGGUUCAGGCGCAGGACCUACUGGCUUCGUUACUAGUUUUUCUUCGGUACAAAUCAUUUUUAAUUAUUUGUUUUCUUUCUUUUGGCUGAAUCGAAGGUCCAGUUUACCUGAAAAAAUGUAGGGCUGACUCAUUUUGUUCAAUAACUUAGCCCGUUAGCUUUUGCUUUAUUUAACACUCAAAUCGGUGAAAAUAAUCGAGCUGUUGUGUUCAGUGAUUUUGGUAAAAUAUAUGUGGAAUGGACCGAUUUUUUAAUAUGAUGGCACCCCUCGACAUAAUGAAGGUGAGUACGAUUCAUUGUUAAUAGUUAUCUUUUUCCCUCAUGUCCGGUUUUUGUGCAACGAAAGUACUUCUUUGUUACAUAUUGCCAGAAUCUAAGGAUACUAGACAAUGAACUGUAGUGGCAUCUCCAAUGGGCACCCCUUUGCACCAAAACUUAGUGCAAAUGUCCCUCCAACUGUUGCACCAUUUUGGUGCAACACUGUUCAUUUUGCAUCAAAUGGUGUAAUGUCUAUUUUUCCUCUCUUUUAUUUUUCAAAGAUAAUGUAAAAUCGUCUUUGAGUGCACCACAUGUCCGUUUUGCCCUUCUCUUUUAUUUUUCAAAGAUAAUGUAAAAGCCUUUGAG